CAGCCGCCGCGGGAAUACGUAGGGUGCGAGCGUUAAUCGGAAUUACUGGGCGUAAAGCGGGCGCAGACGGUUACUUAAGCAGGAUGUGAAAUCCCCGGGCUCAACCUGGGAACUGCGUUCUGAACUGGGUGACUAGAGUGUGUCAGAGGGAGGUAGAAUUCCACGUGUAGCAGUGAAAUGCGUAGAGAUGUGGAGGAAUACCGAUGGCGAAGGCAGCCUCCUGGGAUAACACUGACGUUCAUGCCCGAAAGCGUGGGUAGCAAACAGGAUUAGAUACCCGGGUAGUCCCUGUCUCUUAUAC
Molecule: ribosomal RNA, 301 nt
Filed under: uncultured bacterium
Lineage: Bacteria
Description: partial 16S ribosomal RNA
Rfam family: Bacterial small subunit ribosomal RNA
Source: RNAcentral